GCUCCGAUAGUGUAGCUCGGCCAAUCAUUCGGGGCUCUCAAUCCCGUGACUCGGGUUCAAAUCCCGAUCGGAGCA
This 75-nucleotide transfer RNA is filed under the name Methanobacteriota archaeon. RNAcentral's name for it is "Euryarchaeota archaeon tRNA-Glu". It matches the Rfam family "tRNA". Rfam says of the family: Transfer RNA (tRNA) molecules are approximately 80 nucleotides in length. Lineage: Archaea; Methanobacteriati; Methanobacteriota. RNAcentral also lists the same sequence under 1 other name. The record is from RNAcentral.